Molecule: ribosomal RNA, 557 nt
Filed under: uncultured Sordariomycetidae
Lineage: Eukaryota; Fungi; Ascomycota; Sordariomycetes
Description: SSU rRNA
Rfam family: Eukaryotic small subunit ribosomal RNA
Source: RNAcentral
GGAAGGGAUGUAUUUAUUAGAUUAAAAACCAAUGCCCUCCGGGGCUCACUGGUGAUUCAUGAUAACUCCUCGAAUCGCAUGGCCUUGCGCCGGCGAUGGUUCAUUCAAAUUUCUUCCCUAUCAACUUUCGAUGUUUGGGUAUUGGCCAAACAUGGUUGCAACGGGUAACGGAGGGUUAGGGCUCGACCCCGGAGAAGGAGCCUGAGAAACGGCUACUACAUCCAAGGAAGGCAGCAGGCGCGCAAAUUACCCAAUCCCGACACGGGGAGGUAGUGACAAUAAAUACUGAUACAGGGCUCUUUUGGGUCUUGUAAUUGGAAUGAGUACAAUUUAAAUCCCUUAACGAGGAACAAUUGGAGGGCAAGUCUGGUGCCAGCAGCCGCGGUAAUUCCAGCUCCAAUAGCGUAUAUUAAAGUUGUUGUGGUUAAAAAGCUCGUAGUUGAACCUUGGGCCUGGCUGGCCGGUCCGCCUCACCGCGUGUACUGGUCCGGCCGGGCCUUUCCCUCUGUGGAACCCCAUGCCCUUCACUGGGCGUGGCGGGGAACCAGGACUUUUAC